UUACACAGAAGCAGAAAUUAAUUUGGACAGCUGUCAAAGAUUACUCAUAAUCUCAAGACAGCCUGUUUAUGGUUUGAUACAAAUGCGGAAUUAGCAAAAUCAGAAAAAUGUUUUAGAGGUUGUGAUUUGGCAAGUUCCUUAUUUUUUUUAAAGAAUUUAUUAUUUAUAAACCUCAACUAAACACCAUUAGGAUGACCUGGAUCAUUGAUUGCAAGCCACAACAUUUUGGCUAUCAUUAGUAAAUGACUUCUCAAU
This is a non-coding RNA of Pelobates cultripes (western spadefoot toad), 255 nucleotides long. The record is from the annotation of a GenBank genome assembly. NCBI's taxonomy places the organism in Eukaryota, Metazoa, Chordata, Amphibia, Anura, Pelobatidae.